UACGACCACAUCACGUUGACAACACCGAUUUCCAUAAGAUCACCAAAGUUAAACAUCAUCGAGCCUUGUCAAUACCCAGAUGGGUGACCUUUUGGGAAUAUCAGAUGCUGUAAU
Non-coding RNA from Acanthosepion pharaonis, 114 nucleotides. The record is from the annotation of a GenBank genome assembly. Lineage: Eukaryota; Metazoa; Mollusca; Cephalopoda; Sepiida; Sepiidae.